CAUAAUUCACCCUCACACUCAUACCUACGGGUUAUUUGUCUAUACGGUAAUUUGUCUAACCUGCACGUUUAGGACUACGGCAGGAAACCGGAUAUUCGAAUUACUAAAGAGAGUGACUGGUUUGUGAAGCUGAUUCACCACGGGGCUCCAAUUAGAAGUAGACUCAGACACAGAGGUGCAGCAAUUUGUUUACUGCAGUGAGUCAAGAUUGUACAUAGGUAUGUACAUGUAUGCAUGGUUUCCUACAAUACAAAUAGAUAUACAGAAGGCAACAAACUUGCACAAGCAUACUAUAUAAACCUACUGACACAGGCAGAAACAUCGCAUAGGCAUUGUAUAAUAUGCUAAUUGGCUACACUAACCGCGAUCUUUUAACAAAGGAAAAAGGCAGGAUGUGACAAUUUAACGUGCCAUUCGCAAUUAAACUGAAUUAGUCACACACUGAUGCACGCGCGAGCAAAGCGCGGGUGGCUAAAUAGCUGGCUAGACCGUAAAACUGGGAAGCCUAACACAACAAAGUAUAUAGUACAUUUAGCGGUAGCUUCGUUGUUACAGUUUAGAAUUAUGCAACGAUACAGUCAACCAUGCAGUUAAAAGAGGUAAUGCCUAUUUCAGUUAAGCAGAAAUAAGCAGUAAGGAGCAUUUAGUCACAGCAACUAACUUUUACACAUACUACACUUGACUCAAAUGGAUGACGAUGGAAAAAGUACAGGAGGGCACCCUAAAAUGUGCCCAACAGGGAAUUUAGCAUACCGGAAGCCUACCCGUAAAAAACCGACAUGGACACGCAAACUCUACACAGAAAGUUUUCAAUGAAACCGGCUGCAAUCUGGGAUUCAAACCGGGGAGGCAACAGUACUACUAGGCCACCAUUCUGCCUUGUCCUCGGACGCAGGGAGACGUGGCGGCCGGUGUUGUACAUGGUCCCUCCAACCUGUGUGACGGGCAGCAAACAAAGGAAGAGGGAGCCAUGCCGCUGUUUGAUGGACGGGGGGGCCUCACCAGGUCAAGGAAAUUUGUACAGAGAGAAGCCAAGCAUUCUGGCAAUGCCUAUCCACCCAUCGGCCCCUUGCUGUUAAAGUCAGGCCAAGUCUCACAAAAGUUUGGUUUGAAAUCAGUUCAGCUUCAUGAUGCAUGACAAGUUGCUGUAAAAUGAAUGCAUGUCUUAUGCUAAUCUAUGUAAAUAAAACAAGCAGUAUUCUGGUGAACCUUACAGAUAUUUUUUGUAAUGAAAAAAAUUGAAAAUUCAAAAGCUCAACAAAACUCAUUUAAAUAUGGAAAGUAAGUCUGUCAUAUAACAUUUACAAAAAAAUGAAAUGUAUAUCUGGGAAAGCCACAAAUGUACUUUACAAAUGUUUUGAAAAACAUCAAAAAUACAAAGAAAAAAAUAGUUCAAAUAUUCACUUUGAAAGAAACUUGUUUUUUUUAAGAUAUUACAAGUGUACAAUUAGUAAAUUGAUACUGAACAGAAGAGACAAUAACUGUUACCCUGAAAUACGCGCGCGCACACACACACACAUUUUAAACACUGUACACAAGCACUUUUAUGAGUGUAUUCUACUUGCAUGCACAGAUGCUUUUGACACAAAAAUAGAAUGCAUUAUGAAAUGUUUAUGUACUGUGAAAUCUGAAAAAAAGGAAGAAUUCAAAUACUAAUUUGUAUGGUUUGACAUCAUUCGCACCUAAGCGCAAAUAGCAUAGCUAAUUGCCCACAAUCAUUCCUUUCAUUUGCAUUAAAAUAUGUGGA
Molecule: long non-coding RNA, 1747 nt
Organism: Anguilla rostrata (American eel)
Lineage: Eukaryota; Metazoa; Chordata; Actinopteri; Anguilliformes; Anguillidae
Exons: 3
Source: RefSeq, a predicted model, not a curated record